Molecule: ribosomal RNA, 229 nt
Filed under: uncultured bacterium
Lineage: Bacteria
Description: partial 16S ribosomal RNA
Rfam family: Bacterial small subunit ribosomal RNA
Source: RNAcentral
CGGGGUGAGUAAUGUCUGGGAAACUGCCUGAUGGAGGGGGGUAACUACUGGAAACGGUAGCUAAUACCGCAUAAUGUCGCAAGACCAAAGUGGGGGACCUUCGGGCCUCUUGCCAUCGGAUGUGCCCAGAUGGGAUUAGCUAGUAGGUGGGGUAACGGCUCACCUAGGCGACGAUCCCUAGCUGGUCUGAGAGGAUGACCAGCCACACUGGAACUGAGACACGGUCCAG